This 496-nucleotide ribosomal RNA is filed under the name uncultured bacterium. Its description in RNAcentral is "partial 16S ribosomal RNA". It matches the Rfam family "Bacterial small subunit ribosomal RNA", at positions 29 to 507 of the family's 1533-position model. The record is from RNAcentral.
AUGAACGCUGGCGGCGUGCCUAAUACAUGCAAGUCGAGCGAACAGACGAGGAGCUUGCUCCUCUGACGUUAGCGGCGGACGGGUGAGUAACACGUGGAUAACCAACCUAUAAGACUGGGAUAACUUCGGGAAACCGGAGCUAAUACCGGAUAAUAUAUUGAACCGCAUGGUUCAAUAGUGAAAGACGGUUUUGCUGUCACUUAUAGAUGGAUCCGCGCCGCAUUAGCUAGUUGGUAAGGUAACGGCUUACCAAGGCAACGAUGCGUAGCCGACCUGAGAGGGUGAUCGGCCACACUGGAACUGAGACACGGUCCAGACUCCUACGGGAGGCAGCAGUAGGGAAUCUUCCGCAAUGGGCGAAAGCCUGACGGAGCAACGCCGCGUGAGUGAUGAAGGUCUUCGGAUCGUAAAACUCUGUUAUUAGGGAAGAACAAAUGUGUAAGUAACUAUGCACGUCUUGACGGUACCUAAUCAGAAAGCCACGGCUAACUACGUG